Molecule: ribosomal RNA, 2945 nt
Filed under: Salmonella enterica
Lineage: Bacteria; Pseudomonadati; Pseudomonadota; Gammaproteobacteria; Enterobacterales; Enterobacteriaceae
Description: partial 23S ribosomal RNA
Rfam family: Bacterial large subunit ribosomal RNA
Source: RNAcentral
UAAUCUGCGAUAAGCGCCGGUAAGGUGAUAUGAACCGUUAUAACCGGCGAUUUCCGAAUGGGGAAACCCAGUGUGAUUCGUCACACUAUCAUUAACUGAAUCCAUAGGUUAAUGAGGCGAACCGGGGGAACUGAAACAUCUAAGUACCCCGAGGAAAAGAAAUCAACCGAGAUUCCCCCAGUAGCGGCGAGCGAACGGGGAGGAGCCCAGAGCCUGAAUCAGCAUAUGUGUUAGUGGAAGCGUCUGGAAAGGCGCGCGAUACAGGGUGACAGCCCCGUACACAAAAGCGCAUGUGCUGUGAGCUCGAUGAGUAGGGCGGGACACGUGGUAUCCUGUCUGAAUAUGGGGGGACCAUCCUCCAAGGCUAAAUACUCCUGACUGACCGAUAGUGAACCAGUACCGUGAGGGAAAGGCGAAAAGAACCCCGGCGAGGGGAGUGAAACAGAACCUGAAACCGUGUACGUACAAGCAGUGGGAGCCCCACCACUAAGCCAGUGGUGAACUCCACAUACGCAUCCUUUGCUGAGGAUACGGUUAGCGGAGCGAAAGCGACGUUCAACCUCAAAAGAAGCAGAGGGGGCUUAGUGGUGGGGUGACUGCGUACCUUUUGUAUAAUGGGUCAGCGACUUAUAUUCUGUAGCAAGGUUAACCGUAUAGGGGAGCCGAAGGGAAACCGAGUCUUAACCGGGCGUUAAGUUGCAGGGUAUAGACCCGAAACCCGGUGAUCUAGCCAUGGGCAGGUUGAAGGUUGGGUAACACUAACUGGAGGACCGAACCGACUAAUGUUGAAAAAUUAGCGGAUGACCUGUGGCUGGGGGUGAAAGGCCAAUCAAACCGGGAGAUAGCUGGUUCUCCCCGAAAGCUAUUUAGGUAGCGCCUCGUGAAUUCAUCUCCGGGGGUAGAGCACUGUUUCGGCUAGGGGGCCAUCCCGGCUUACCAACCCGAUGCAAACUGCGAAUACCGGAGAAUGUUAUCACGGGAGACACACGGCGGGUGCUAACGUCCGUCGUGAAGAGGGAAACAACCCAGACCGCCAGCUAAGGUCCCAAAGUCAUGGUUAAGUGGGAAACGAUGUGGGAAGGCCCAGACAGCCAGGAUGUUGGCUUAGAAGCAGCCAUCAUUUAAAGAAAGCGUAAUAGCUCACUGGUCGAGUCGGCCUGCGCGGAAGAUGUAACGGGGCUAAACCAUGCACCGAAGCUGCGGCAGCGACACUAUGUGUUGUUGGGUAGGGGAGCGUUCUGUAAGCCUGCGAAGGUGGCCUGUGAGGGUUGCUGGAGGUAUCAGAAGUGCGAAUGCUGACAUAAGUAACGAUAAAGCGGGUGAAAAGCCCGCUCGCCGGAAGACCAAGGGUUCCUGUCCAACGUUAAUCGGGGCAGGGUGAGUCGACCCCUAAGGCGAGGCCGAAAGGCGUAGUCGAUGGGAAACGGGUUAAUAUUCCCGUACUUGGUGUUACUGCGAAGGGGGGACGGAGAAGGCUAUGUUGGCCGGGCGACGGUUGUCCCGGUUUAAGCGUGUAGGUGUGUGUUCCAGGUAAAUCCGGUUCACUUUAACACUGAGGCGUGACGACGAGGCACUACGGUGCUGAAGCAACAAAUGCCCUGCUUCCAGGAAAAGCCUCUAAGCAUCAGGUAACAUCAAAUCGUACCCCAAACCGACACAGGUGGUCAGGUAGAGAAUACCAAGGCGCUUGAGAGAACUCGGGUGAAGGAACUAGGCAAAAUGGUGCCGUAACUUCGGGAGAAGGCACGCUGACACGUAGGUGAAGUGAUUUACUCACGGAGCUGAAGUCAGUCGAAGAUACCAGCUGGCUGCAACUGUUUAUUAAAAACACAGCACUGUGCAAACACGAAAGUGGACGUAUACGGUGUGACGCCUGCCCGGUGCCGGAAGGUUAAUUGAUGGGGUCAGCGCAAGCGAAGCUCCUGAUCGAAGCCCCGGUAAACGGCGGCCGUAACUAUAACGGUCCUAAGGUAGCGAAAUUCCUUGUCGGGUAAGUUCCGACCUGCACGAAUGGCGUAAUGAUGGCCAGGCUGUCUCCACCCGAGACUCAGUGAAAUUGAACUCGCUGUGAAGAUGCAGUGUACCCGCGGCAAGACGGAAAGACCCCGUGAACCUUUACUAUAGCUUGACACUGAACAUUGAGCCUUGAUGUGUAGGAUAGGUGGGAGGCUUUGAAGCGUGGACGCCAGUCUGCGUGGAGCCGACCUUGAAAUACCACCCUUUAAUGUUUGAUGUUCUAACGUGGACCCGUGAUCCGGGUUGCGGACAGUGUCUGGUGGGUAGUUUGACUGGGGCGGUCUCCUCCUAAAGAGUAACGGAGGAGCACGAAGGUUGGCUAAUCCUGGUCGGACAUCAGGAGGUUAGUGCAAUGGCAUAAGCCAGCUUGACUGCGAGCGUGACGGCGCGAGCAGGUGCGAAAGCAGGUCAUAGUGAUCCGGUGGUUCUGAAUGGAAGGGCCAUCGCUCAACGGAUAAAAGGUACUCCGGGGAUAACAGGCUGAUACCGCCCAAGAGUUCAUAUCGACGGCGGUGUUUGGCACCUCGAUGUCGGCUCAUCACAUCCUGGGGCUGAAGUAGGUCCCAAGGGUAUGGCUGUUCGCCAUUUAAAGUGGUACGCGAGCUGGGUUUAGAACGUCGUGAGACAGUUCGGUCCCUAUCUGCCGUGGGCGCUGGAGAACUGAGGGGGGCUGCUCCUAGUACGAGAGGACCGGAGUGGACGCAUCACUGGUGUUCGGGUUGUCAUGCCAAUGGCACUGCCCGGUAGCUAAAUGCGGAAGAGAUAAGUGCUGAAAGCAUCUAAGCACGAAACUUGCCCCGAGAUGAGUUCUCCCUGAGACUUUAGGUCUCCUGAAGGAACGUUGAAGACGACGACGUUGAUAGGCCGGGUGUGUAAGCGCAGCGAUGCGUUGAGCUAACCGGUACUAAUGAACCGUGAGGCUUAACCUU